CCUACGGGGGGCUGCAGUGAGGAAUAUUGGUCAAUGGACGAGAGUCUGAACCAGCCAAGUAGCGUGAAGGAUGACUGCCCUAUGGGUUGUAAACUUCUUUUAUAUGGGAAUAAAAUGUUCCACGUGUGGGAUUUUGUAUGUACCAUAUGAAUAAGGAUCGGCUAACUCCGUGCCAGCAGCCGCGGUAAUACGGAGGAUCCGAGCGUUAUCCGGAUUUAUUGGGUUUAAAGGGAGCGUAGGUGGAUUGUUAAGUCAGUUGUGAAAGUUUGCGGCUCAACCGUAAAAUUGCAGUUGAAACUGGCAGUCUUGAGUACAGUAGAGGUGGGCGGAAGGCGUGGUGUAGCGGUGAAAUGCUUAGAUAUCACGAAGAACUCCGAUUGUGAAGGCAGUUCACUGGACUGCAACUGACACUGAGGCUCGAAAGUGUGGGUAUCAAACAGGAUUAGAUACCCGAGUAGUC
This 460-nucleotide ribosomal RNA is filed under the name uncultured bacterium. Its description in RNAcentral is "partial 16S ribosomal RNA". It matches the Rfam family "Bacterial small subunit ribosomal RNA", at positions 338 to 795 of the family's 1533-position model. The record is from RNAcentral.